UCUCAGAUGGUCCAGUGGCUAAGAUUUCCGCCUGUCAUUGGCCAAUCACAAUUGGCUAGCUCGCGGACGACCGGGGUUCGAUUCCCCGUCUGAGAG
Orbilia javanica is the source of this 96-nucleotide non-coding RNA. Lineage: Eukaryota; Fungi; Ascomycota; Orbiliomycetes; Orbiliales; Orbiliaceae. The record is from the annotation of a GenBank genome assembly.